AAUGAACGCUGGCGGCAUGCCUAACACAUGCCAGUCGAACGAGACCUUCGGGUCUAGUGGCGCACGGGUGCGUAACGCGUGGGAACCUGCCCUUAGGUUCGGAAUAACUCCCCGAAAGGGGUGCUAAUACCGGAUAAUGUCUUCGGACCAAAGAUUUAUCGCCUUUGGAUGGGCCCGCGUUGGAUUAGCUAGUUGGUAGGGUAAAAGCCUACCAAGGCGACGAUCCAUAGCUGGUCUGAGAGGAUGAUCAGCCACACUGGGACUGAGACACGGCCCAGACUCCUACGGGAGGCAGCAGUGGGGAAUAUUGGACAAUGGGCGAAAGCCUGAUCCAGCAAUGCCGCGUGAGUGAUGAAGGCCUUAGGGUUGUAAAGCUCUUUUACCCGGGAUGAUAAUGACAGUACCGGGAGAAUAAGCUCCGGCUAACUCCGUG
Molecule: ribosomal RNA, 433 nt
Filed under: uncultured bacterium
Lineage: Bacteria
Description: partial 16S ribosomal RNA
Rfam family: Bacterial small subunit ribosomal RNA
Source: RNAcentral